Molecule: ribosomal RNA, 377 nt
Filed under: uncultured eukaryote
Lineage: Eukaryota
Description: partial 18S ribosomal RNA
Rfam family: Eukaryotic small subunit ribosomal RNA
Source: RNAcentral
CAAUAGCGUAUAUUUAAGUUGCUGCAGUUAAAAAGCUCGUAGUUGGAUUUCGGGUGGGAAUGGCCGGUCCGCCGUUUCGGUGUGCACUUGCUACGCCCACCUUGCUGCCGGGGACGUGCUCUUGAGUUCACGCUCUGGACACGGAGUCGGCGAGGUUACUUUGAGUAAAUUAGAGUGUUCAAAGCAGGCCUACGCUCUGAAUACAUUAGCAUGGAAUAACACGAUAGGACUCUGGCCUAUCUUGUUGGUCUGUAGGACCGGAGUAAUGAUUAAGAGGGACAGUCGGGGGCAUUCGUAUUUCAUUGUCAGAGGUGAAAUUCUUGGAUUUAUGAAAGACGAACUACUGCGAAAGCAUUUGCCAAGGAUGUUUUCAUUAA